CAUGGAGCUCCUCGCGUCGGGCUUCAUUGAGAACACCUGAGGCAUAUUCACUCACUCAUCACACCGCCGAUAUAAACCCCAUAUUCCCCCACACUCCGGCUCCUUUAUUGCAUGUUCCUGUGUGUUCAUAUUGCCUUAUGUGCGGUGUGCGUUUCCCCCUACGUGCAGUUCGACCCGGACUCUCGCGCUCGCGCUCUCGCUUCGCGUGGACUCUUUCCAGGCGCACCGUGGAUAUUACUUUCCUUUUUCCCGGAUUUCCUCAAUCGGAUUAUUCCUCAGACUCUGGACUAUUGUGGGCCACCGGAAUAAUCCUUUCACAGCAAAAAGAAUCUCCGUGAAUGAUGCCGGUUCGAAUCCCACCUCAGACACCGCUGAAAUCCCACAAUACUGCACAAAAAUACUGACGUGAAUAAAAAUACAUCACUUGUCACUCAUGUUAAUAUCUGUAUGAUUUGACAAAUUUUUCCAAUAAAGGGGCAUAAAAUGGA
Silurus meridionalis is the source of this 488-nucleotide long non-coding RNA. RefSeq lists it as uncharacterized. The transcript is spliced from 2 exons. NCBI's taxonomy places the organism in Eukaryota, Metazoa, Chordata, Actinopteri, Siluriformes, Siluridae. The record is from RefSeq and is a predicted model, not a curated record.